CCUAGUGACACCAAAUAGGCUGCCACGUGGCAGCAAUUAAUAAAAGGGGAAACUAACGUGUCAAGCCCAAUGAUGACUCAAAGUCAUCUAAAUGGGACACUUACACGUUGAAAGGCCCUUAUACAUUCAAAGUUGGCAAUUCAUAAAUUCAUUUUGCAAGAAUGCAAUUGACAAAAGUCACGUAGGAAUUAAAAAAAAAAAAAAAAGCACACACGGCUAAGUUGGAGUUAAAGAAAGAACAUGGUACUUUCGGACCAACAGUGGUGUGGAGAAAAGUUUGCAUUGUUGAAUAUUUUGAUUAAGUUUCAAGUAUUAUACAAAUUCAAGGAAGCGAUAGCAACAUUGGAUAUGGAAUUGAGGAAGAAGAAAUUGCGAAAUUGGAGCAAUUAAGAGUAGAAAUUCCUAUGAGAAAUUUAAGGCUAAAAGAGCGACGAGACGAACGGGUUAUGAAUAACCAACAGGUACAGAUGCUCACGUUGGUAACCCGCCAGCUUAGGAGUCCUAUCCAGCUAUCUUGGAGUGCUCCCUUGUCCUGGAGCAUAGCUUUUUGUUACAGAUUCUCCUGUUGUAUAUAUGUGUCUAUUGAGGGGUACGGCGGGGCCCUGUCCCGUCAUAUAAUACUGUAGUUACUCUUAGAGGUCUGUAGACAUAUGUGUGGGUUGUGUAUCAAUGUUGUUCAGUUGUGUCUAUAUGGCUUAUGUUUUGGGACGUUCCCAUUCGUAGUGGCAGCCUUGUCGGC
Molecule: long non-coding RNA, 739 nt
Organism: Lycium barbarum (goji berry)
Lineage: Eukaryota; Viridiplantae; Streptophyta; Magnoliopsida; Solanales; Solanaceae
Exons: 3
Source: RefSeq, a predicted model, not a curated record